GCCGAGGUAGCUUAGCGGUAAAGCAGCUGUUUUGUAAACAGCAGACCGGAGGUUCAAAUCCUCUCCUCGGCUCAA
RNAcentral lists this transfer RNA (75 nucleotides) under Candidatus Giovannonibacteria bacterium RIFCSPLOWO2_02_FULL_43_37. Its description in RNAcentral is "tRNA-Thr". It matches the Rfam family "tRNA". Rfam says of the family: Transfer RNA (tRNA) molecules are approximately 80 nucleotides in length. Lineage: Bacteria; Candidatus Giovannoniibacteriota. The record is from RNAcentral.